Dermacentor andersoni is the source of this 302-nucleotide long non-coding RNA. RefSeq lists it as uncharacterized. NCBI's taxonomy places the organism in Eukaryota, Metazoa, Arthropoda, Arachnida, Ixodida, Ixodidae. The record is from RefSeq and is a predicted model, not a curated record.
UUUCUUACUUCUCUAUGAACAGGCAAGGACCAAGGAACACGACAUGCGAUUUUUAUGUGGAAGAUGACGCCUCAAAGCCGCACUGUUCAUGUCUGACCCAAAUUGGUGCCAUAAUGGUAUCACCGUUCUCUAGCUCUGCGGCCCCUGCGAGCAAGAAUUAACCGAGCGGAAGGACUGUACAGCAACGGUUCAACAAAGAAAUAUACCAUUUGGAAUUCAGUUAUAAGGAUAAUAGUUGGGCCUGACAUGGCUGUAUUGCAGCUGUUAAGUUGCUAUGUGCCGUGCUAAUUACCCUUGCUGCA